UAUACGACUCUCGGCAACGGAUAUCUCGGCUCUCACAUCGAUGAAGAACGUAGCGAAAUGCGAUACUUGGUGUGAAUUGCAGAAUCCCGUGAACCAUCGAGUCUUUGAACGCAAGUUGCGCCCGAGGCCUUUCGGUUGAGGGCACGCCUGCCUGGGCAUCACGC
This 164-nucleotide ribosomal RNA is filed under the name Lilium leucanthum var. centifolium. RNAcentral describes it as "5.8S ribosomal RNA". It matches the Rfam family "5.8S ribosomal RNA". From Rfam's summary of the family: 5.8S ribosomal RNA (5.8S rRNA) is a component of the large subunit of the eukaryotic ribosome. It is transcribed by RNA polymerase I as part of the 45S precursor that also contains 18S and 28S rRNA. The record is from RNAcentral. Lineage: Eukaryota; Viridiplantae; Streptophyta; Magnoliopsida; Liliales; Liliaceae.